GAAGACACCGGCUAACGUCCGUGCCCAGCAGCCGCGGUAAUACGGAGGGUGCGAGCGUUAAUCGGAAUUACUGGGCGUAAAGACGCAUGCAGGUGGUUUGUUAAGUUCAGAUGUGAAAGCCCGGGGCGUCAACCUCGGAAUAGCAUUUGAAACUGGCAGACUAGAGUACUGUAGAGGGGGGUAGGAAUUUCAGGUGUAGCGGUGAAAUGCGUAGAGAUCUGAAGGAAUACCGGUGGCGAAGGCGGCCCCCUCGGACAGAUACUGACACUCAGAUGCGAAAGCGUGGGGAGCAAACAGGAUUAGAUACCCCUGGUAG
This 316-nucleotide ribosomal RNA is filed under the name uncultured bacterium. RNAcentral describes it as "bacterial SSU rRNA". It matches the Rfam family "Bacterial small subunit ribosomal RNA", at positions 486 to 793 of the family's 1533-position model. The record is from RNAcentral.